Molecule: ribosomal RNA, 370 nt
Filed under: uncultured bacterium
Lineage: Bacteria
Description: bacterial SSU rRNA
Rfam family: Bacterial small subunit ribosomal RNA
Source: RNAcentral
GUAGGGGCCGAGCGUUGUCCGGAAUUAUUGGGCGUAAAGGGCGCGUAGGCAGUCUUGUAAGUCAGAUGUUAAAUCCAUCCGCUCAACGGGUGGCCGCAUCUGAUACUGCUUGACUAGAGAGUGGUAGAGGAAAGCGGAACUACCGGUGUAGCGGUGAAAUGCGUAGAUAUCAGGAGGAACACCGGUGGCGAAGGCGGCUUCCUGGACCACAACUGACGCUGAGGCGCGAAAGCUAGGGUAGCAAACAGGAUUAGAUACCCUGGUAGUCCUAGCUGUAAACGAUGGAUACUUGCUGUGGGGGGUGUUAAAUCCCCCUGUGGCGAAGCUAACGCGUUAAGUAUCCCGCCUGGGGAGUACGGUCGCAAGGCUG